RNAcentral lists this unclassified non-coding RNA (524 nucleotides) under Neocucurbitaria keratinophila. Its description in RNAcentral is "sequence contains ITS1, 5.8S rRNA gene, ITS2". The stretch from base 169 to 322 matches the Rfam family "5.8S ribosomal RNA". Lineage: Eukaryota; Fungi; Ascomycota; Dothideomycetes; Pleosporales; Cucurbitariaceae. The record is from RNAcentral.
CCUGCGGAAGGAUCAUUACCACAUAUCAUCGGGGGGAAACUUCGGUUCUCCUGUCUGAACCCUUGUCUUUUGCGUACUAUUUGUUUCCUUGGUGGGCUUGCCUGCCGAUAGGACAACCAUUAAACCUUUUGUAAUUGCAAUCAGCGUCAGAAAAAACAUAAUAAUUACAACUUUCAACAACGGAUCUCUUGGUUCUGGCAUCGAUGAAGAACGCAGCGAAAUGCGAAAAGUAGUGUGAAUUGCAGAAUUCAGUGAAUCAUCGAAUCUUUGAACGCACAUUGCGCCCCUUGGUAUUCCAUGGGGCAUGCCUGUUCGAGCGUCAUUUGUACCUUCAAGCUCUGCUUGGUGUUGGGUGUUUGUCCCGCUUUUUUGCGUGGACUCGCCUCAAAGCAAUUGGCAGCCGGCGUACUAGCCUGGGAGCGCAGCACAUUUUGCGCAUCUCGACUUGAACGCUUGCAUCCAUCAAGUUACUUUUUAACUCUUGACCUCGGAUCAGGUAGGGAUACCCGCUGAACUUAAGCAUA